GUCACUUUGGGGGCACAUACAGUGAAAAUGGAAUGAGACAGAGAAGAUUAGCAUGGUCCCCAAGUGAGGAUGACACACAAACUCAUGAAGUGUUCCAUAUUUUC
Cricetulus griseus (Chinese hamster) is the source of this 104-nucleotide small nuclear RNA. The record is from Ensembl. NCBI's taxonomy places the organism in Eukaryota, Metazoa, Chordata, Mammalia, Rodentia, Cricetidae.